Molecule: non-coding RNA, 2826 nt
Organism: Phoenix dactylifera (date palm)
Lineage: Eukaryota; Viridiplantae; Streptophyta; Magnoliopsida; Arecales; Arecaceae
Source: RefSeq, a predicted model, not a curated record
UAUGCAGGCCGUAGGCUCGUACUGUAAGUAUGCGAAGGUCCGCAGCAAAUGAGAGGCGCUUCUCCAGUGCCAGCGCCGGCGGUGCCUCGGCCCCUUCGUCUGCGACCCCGACACCAUCCUAAACUUCGGCAGUCACCGCCGACGAUCUCAAUGCCUAGGAGUUUCUCGUAGGGUCGUUCGAUGGAGUGGCGACGCCGGCGAUCGGCGUCGGCUUCGGCGGUGGGAUUCGUUUUCCCUUUAUUUGCUCAACUAUGCAUCAAGACCCGAGAAGCAUCUGACGUUGUGGAUUUUGACAAGCGCUCCGUAUGAUGCAUUAUAUUUUUGGUAGAAGUUGGCAGGACCGAAUUCCCGGAGGCGGUGAUCGGAUCUCGGCCCCCUUUCCCGGCUCCCAGCAUCCUGACGUCGAGCAGAGUUUAAGUUUACAAGAGAAUGAAAACCGUGGAGCAUUUUAUGAGACAUUUCAUGGUGGAAGCAUCAGCAUCCGGAGGUGCAAGAAGAAUUCAUCCAACUUCAGGCCAUCAUAAAUAUCUGUCUCAGGAAGCGAGCUGAGCUAGAGAUUUUGGAUUCGAAGGCUUCUUUGAUCCGUGCAAGUCAUUGAGGCAGAAGCAACAUUGCGAGAGGCUAUUGUAUCUCAGGUGUGCCUCAGCAUCUCGGGUUCUAUUUUUCUACUUUCUCUAUUUAUUUUCUUUAAGCCUAUUACAGCUUAUUAUUUGUUGAAGUAGAAUAUUUUAGAUUUUAAUUUUCCUGGGAUUUGUUAUUCCCAACAUUAUUUGGGUUCCUUGAUCCUGUAUAAGUACUCAAGAUCUACCUAGCGAAUAACCGAUGUGGGACUAAACACAUACCGGUACGGAUCCUCAUACCCUUCCUGCAGUUGAACUGGGCCACAAACGAUAUGUGUGGCCGCAGAGGGAUGGCUUUUUAUGGAGGUAUGUUUUGCGUGCCCAUUCUUUCAAGGGUUGAUGGGGACUCCCUAAAAGCUAGCGAUCACGCGGAACUCUUGAAGGGAGAGGGACUGCACCCUGGUGGGGCUCGUGUGAAAGCUGAGAAUGUCCUAGAGGGUGAAUUAUUUUCUAAAGUUUUUAUAACAUGGAAAACUUUAAGUUAAUAGGGAAGCCAAGGUUAGGGUAAUAACAAAAACCUAGUAACCCCUUUAAUUUGGUUAUCAGUACUAUAAAUUUGUAAGCUUAAGAGAGUCUAAUUUAGAUCUUUUACCUUAUACCCAUCCUAUUCCUACCAACGCUAACAAGGGUGUAGAAAAGGAUAGCAAAUUUGGUCUGUUUAUAGUCCUUAUGCAUUGAACUUGAUGGUCUUAGAAAAGCAUCUAGCUUUGUCGAUUCUUUGGAUCCAAGAAGGUUUUACAAGAAAGAAACUUAUAAGUUUCUCUAAGAAAGAAACUCUAAAAAAAGGCUAGAAUCUUCUAGGUAACUUAUAAAACUUCCCUGAAAGUGACUGGUGUCCGAAAAGUGUGACAAGAUAGGCAAACUACGGAAUAAAAGAUUCUCAUGAGAUUGAUGCGAUUGAUAUCGAGUCAAAUAUUGCCAAGUGGACCUCUCUCCUCAUGAAGAAAGACACUUAAAUGGUGUUCAUCAUCAAUUCAAUUGCUCUACAAAUGCUGGACUGUUCUUUUUCUUUCUUGCUCUAAAUAGUAGAUGACUGCUUGCUAUUAAGGUGUCACUUGCUAGUUACCCAUACCAUUUUGAUUAACUUCUCCUCGGUAUGUAGAAUAUAUGCUAAAUUGACUUCAUACGUUAGGAUGUGCAUAGCCUACACAACUAGGAACAACAUAAUACACGGUCAGCCUAAGCUUAACCCUAGCUUCCAUGCAAUCAGACAUUUUUAUACCUAUUAGACAGGAAGAAGAGAGAAAACUUGACCCAUUUCUAAAAUUCAGAAAAAUUAAAAAAAUUGUAAAAAAAUUGAUUGUUAAUUAUUUUUGGAAUCAUGUUAAAAAAAUGCACAUAUUUUUUUCCACUAGAAAAAAUUCCACACACAAAAGAAAAUUUGUUCGUAAUAUUUUGUACACAUGCAAAAAAAAAAUGUUCGUAAUAUUUCCUCCACGAACAAUUAAAUUAAUUCCACGCAUAAAAAAGAAAAUUUGUUCGUAACAUUCUCUCCACGAGCAGAUAAAUUAGAUUUUUAGUGAUUUGCUCCAAAAAAAAUUCAUGCACAAAAAAUCAAUUGUAAUAUUUGCUAAAUUAGAUUUUUAGUUGGACUCUUCGAAAAAGAAUAAAUUAGAUUUUUAGUGGGAAUCUACAUAAAAAAAUAAAAUUUUGUAUAAAAAGAAAAAUUCUGCUCCUUAUUUCUUAUUCUCCACGAGUAAAUUCUAUUUUUAGUGGGACUCUUUAAAAAGAAAAAAAAUGUUAAUGUCAAAAUUUAUUCAAAAAGAAAUGUUUGCACAAAAAAAGAUUCCACACACACACACACACACCCCGAAUAAAAAGGGAAAUGUACGCACAAAAUAAUCAUUUGUAAUAUUUUCUAAAUUCGAUUUUUAGUAGGACUCUUUGAAAAGAAAAAAAAUCAUUCCAAAAGGAACAAUCAAAUUCACUCAAAAAAGAAAAUUCUGAUUCUUAGUUCUUACUCUCUACAACUAAAUUAGAUUUUUUUAAUGUCAAAAAUCUGUUCAAAAAGAAAUGUGUGAACAAAAAAAAUCCUAUGCACACAAAAGACAAAAAUGGAAAUGUACGCACAACAAAAAAUUGUUGGUAACAUUUUCUAAAUUUGAUUUUUAGUAGGACUCUUCGAAAAGAAAAAUAAAUAUUCAAAAAGAAAAUUUCAAAUUUCCCUCAUGAAGAAAAAAUUCCCUUCUUAUUUUUAUUUAUUUUA